UGAGGAAUAUUGGUCAAUGGGCGAGAGCCUGAACCAGCCAAGUAGCGUGCAGGAUGACGGCCCUAUGGGUUGUAAACUGCUUUUAUAUGGGGAUAAAGUGGGGAACGUGUUCCCUUUUGCAGGUACCAUAUGAAUAAGGACCGGCUAAUUCCGUGCCAGCAGCCGCGGUAAUACGGAAGGUUCGGGCGUUAUCCGGAUUAAUUGGGUUUAAAGGGAGCGUAGGCCGUUUGGUAAGCGUGUUGUGAAAUGUAGGAGCUCAACUUCUAGAUUGCAGCGCGAACUGUCAGACUUGAGUGCGCACAACGUAGGCGGAAUUCAUGGUGUAGCGGUGAAAUGCUUAGAUAUCAUGAAGAACUCCGAUUGCGAAGGCAGCUUACGGGAGCGCAACUGACGCUGAAGCUCGAAGGUGCGGGUAUCGAACAGG
This 424-nucleotide ribosomal RNA is filed under the name Verrucomicrobiota bacterium. RNAcentral's name for it is "Verrucomicrobia bacterium partial 16S ribosomal RNA". It matches the Rfam family "Bacterial small subunit ribosomal RNA", at positions 355 to 776 of the family's 1533-position model. The record is from RNAcentral. Lineage: Bacteria; Pseudomonadati; Verrucomicrobiota.